UACGUAGGGGGCGAGCGUUGUCCGGAAUCAUUGGGCGUAAAGCGCGUGUAGGCGGCUCGAUAAGUCUGCUGUGAAAGUCCAGGGCUCAACCCUGGAAUGCCGGUGGAAACUGUCGAGCUUGAGUCCGGAAGAGGCGAGUGGAAUUCCUGGUGUAGCGGUGAAAUGCGCAGAUAUCAGGAGGAACACCAAUGGCGAAGGCAGCUCGCUGGGCCUGUACUGACGCUGAGGAGCGAAAGCGUGGGGAGCGAACAGG
Molecule: ribosomal RNA, 253 nt
Filed under: uncultured bacterium
Lineage: Bacteria
Description: partial 16S ribosomal RNA
Rfam family: Bacterial small subunit ribosomal RNA
Source: RNAcentral